This is a non-coding RNA of Vicia faba (fava bean), 348 nucleotides long. The record is from the annotation of a GenBank genome assembly. NCBI's taxonomy places the organism in Eukaryota, Viridiplantae, Streptophyta, Magnoliopsida, Fabales, Fabaceae.
AUGGGAAGUAUGAGUAUGAAUCCAUUAUUUAGAAGUGAAUCUUUUGGAUACUAUAACUACUUCCCUGACCAGAACUACACCAUGAUGGAGAAGAGACAGUUGUUCCUAAGAAGCUACCAGUUCUGUAGAAAGAAAAGUCUGACAGAGAGAAUCAAAGGCUCCUUAAUCCGUGCUAAGAAAGUUGUUUGGUUAAAGCUAAGACAUGCUCGUGGAUUAAGAAAGUUGGUGUUUUUUCCCAGGUUUAAAUGCGCUUUCUAUUACCGUAGAAGAAGGUUCUUUUCCCAGCUUUUAAACACUAGUAGUAAUAGCCACAAACUCAAAACUGAAUCUUCAACAUGUUUAUGGUAA